AAAAUAUUUAUAAAACUAGAUUGUUAUGAAAAUGAGGAGCAUAUCAAUUUUUUUAUGAAAAAGGGGGAUGCAGACACAAAGUUUGGAAACUACUGCCUUAUUAGAUCAGGUAAAAUGUUACAUCAAAAAAACAAUAUAAUGUUAAACAGCCCAGGGCUAAUUCAAUUAAUGGAUACAAGCUUUAAAAAUGCAAAGUGGAAAUGCCCUCUUUCUGUCCAGUGCUUCCAUCACCAAAUCUUUGAGAAAGAUUUCAGUUGAAGUGAUAGUAUGUGAAAUGUUAAAAUAGUCAGUUUUUAAUUGAAGAGUAACUGGUUUUUAGCUAAGAAAAUGUUUAAUAAACAUUUAUAUAUAACAUAUAUUUUUUUAAUUUACAAUUUAUAAAAAGUAUUUUGCAUGUGAUUUUGGAUUAACCAAACAUUCAUUUAUCUGGCCUGAGAUCCAGCCCCCAUAGGACCUGGUUAAUUGGAAGUCUAUCGUAUUUAUUAAUUAAAGUCACUAAAUCAUACUUCAUUCUUUUUGCAUUAAAAAUGUUAUUUAUAGAUAACAUUUAUAUUUGUGAUAACAAUAAAAUCAGUUCAAUAUAUUAAAUAGUAUAUGUUAUAAAUAUCAUUAUUAAGCUUGUAAGAUCAAAAUGCUCUCUGUGUCCUCACCAAAUACUUUUGAAGUAAUGAAUGGAUUUCUAUAAAACUUAAUAUCUACCAUUAAUGAUAACCUCA
Molecule: long non-coding RNA, 716 nt
Filed under: Androctonus crassicauda
Lineage: Eukaryota; Metazoa; Arthropoda; Arachnida; Scorpiones; Buthidae
Source: RNAcentral